UUAAACACUGAGGCGUGACGACGAGCCACUACGGUGGUGAAGUGAUUGAUGCCCUGCUUCCUGGAAAAGCCUCUAAGCAUCAGGUUAUCAUUGAUCGUACCCCAAACCGACACAGGUGGUCAGGUAGAGAAUACUCAGGCGCUUGAGAGAACUCGGGUGAAGGAACUAGGCAAAAUGGUGCCGUAACUUCGGGAGAAGGCACGCUGGCAUUAGGUGAAGUCCCUCGCGGACGGAGCUGAAGCCAGCCGCAGAUACCAGCUGGCUGCAACUGUUUAUUAAAAACACAGCACUGUGCAAACACGAAAGUGGACGUAUACGGUGUGACGCCUGCCCGGUGCCGGAAGGUUAAUUGAUGGGGUUAGCGCAAGCGAAGCUCCUGAUCGAAGCCCCGGUAAACGGCGGCCGUAACUAUAACGGUCCUAAGGUAGCGAAAUUCCUUGUCGGGUAAGUUCCGACCUGCACGAAUGGCGUAAUGAUGGCCAGGCUGUCUCCACCCGAGACUCAGUGAAAUUGAACUCGCUGUGAAGAUGCAGUGUACCCGCGGCAAGACGGAAAGACCCCGUGAACCUUUACUAUAGCUUGACACUGAACAUUGAAUCUUGAUGUGUAGGAUAGGUGGGAGGCAACGAAAUGUGGACGCCAGUCUGCAUGGAGCCAACCUUGAAAUACCACCCUUUAACAUUUGAUGUUCUAACCCGGGUCCAUAAUCUGGAUCGGGGACCGUGUCUGGUGGGUAGUUUGACUGGGGCGGUCUCCUCCCAAAGAGUAACGGAGGAGCACGAAGGUUGGCUAAGCAUGGUCGGACAUCAUGCGGUUAGUGCAAAGGCAUAAGCCAGCUUGACUGCGAGAGUGACAGCUCGAGCAGGUACGAAAGUAGGUCUUAGUGAUCCGGUGGUUCUGAAUGGAAGGGCCAUCGCUCAACGGAUAAAAGGUACUCCGGGGAUAACAGGCUGAUACCGCCCAAGAGUUCAUAUCGACGGCGGUGUUUGGCACCUCGAUGUCGGCUCAUCACAUCCUGGGGCUGAAGUAGGUCCCAAGGGUAUGGCUGUUCGCCAUUUAAAGUGGUACGCGAGCUGGGUUUAGAACGUCGUGAGACAGUUCGGUCCCUAUCUGCCGUGGGCGUUGGAAGAUUGAGAGGGGCUGCUCCUAGUACGAGAGGACCGGAGUGGACGCACCACUGGUGUACGGGUUGUGAUGCCAAUUGCAUUGCCCGGUAGCUAAGUGCGGAAAAGAUAACCGCUGAAAGCAUCUAAGCGGGAAACUUGCCUCGAGAUGAGUCUUCCCUGACCCUUUAAGGGUCCUGAAGGAACGUUUGAGACUAAGACGUUGAUAGGCUGGGUGUGUAAGUACAGCGAUGUAUUGAGCUAACCAGUACUAAUGAACCGAGAGGCUUAACCUGACAACACCGAAGGUGUUU
This 1417-nucleotide ribosomal RNA is filed under the name Morganella psychrotolerans. RNAcentral's name for it is "bacterial LSU rRNA". It matches the Rfam family "Bacterial large subunit ribosomal RNA", at positions 1549 to 2925 of the family's 2925-position model. The record is from RNAcentral. Lineage: Bacteria; Pseudomonadati; Pseudomonadota; Gammaproteobacteria; Enterobacterales; Morganellaceae.